CCCUGCGCAGCCUGACCCCCCCCGGGAGGGUGCUGCCCCCGGAGCUGGGGGACGGGCGCAACGUCCCCCCCGGCCCGAGCCGCGCUCCGAGGAGGAGCCGCCCCCCCUUCCCGGGGGAGCCCCGGGCGCCGCUCCCGAGCACCACAGCCAUAGCCCCGGGCUGCGGCGGGACCCCCGGCGGGACCCCCGGCCCCGCUCCCCGACCUGCCGCACUCAGGUACCCCCGGCCCCGCCGCCUGCAGCCCCCCGAGGCCUCCUACGCGCCCUAGCUGGUGACAGAUAGCCUUCACCGUCCCCUCCCGCCCAGCUCCCACCGACAGAUUGCAGAAAUCACUCCCCAGCCCCCCUCCUGCCCCUCCCAGAGCAGCCCUGGGCGGCAGCGGAGGAUGAGGCAGAGAAUUCACCCGGGGCUCCAGAGCCUCACGACCAACUCCAAAGAUGCGGCCAAGACGGGCAGAGCCGGGAGCUCCCCGGGCCGGGCGCAGAGCCGGCCCCGCCUCGGCUGCUCCGCGCACCCGGCACAGGCAGCGGCACCCCCGGAGCGGGACCCCGCGCACGGCCCAGGCACCGGAUCCUCCCUCGGCCGUGCAAGAAAACACCCCCGAAGCAUCGAGAGUCAACUUCAGUUCCUCCCGAGCCCCCGUUCACAUCGGCGAGCACAGGCACAACCUGCUGAGAACAAGGACGAGACCACGGCACAGGUUUGACCUCCAGCCCCAGGUGCGUUGGAUUUGCCAAAAAAAAACCCACGAAAGGGUGCGAUGUCAACACGGUGUACAUAGUGUACAGUAGGGGAGAGAAUUAAUGUAUCUUAAUUUGUCAUUAUUUUGCUGACCAAAGCUGUACAUUUUUCCUACUCCUGGCUCCGUCUCCUUUGGGAUUCGAAGGGGUUCCGACACCCCGCGCGUCCGGCCCGCAUCGGCACUUCUGACAAUGCACUGUUUCUACGGAUUCUCAUGCUUUUUCCAUUUGAUUGCUGGGAUUACAUGAAUCGUUGACUUUAUUUUUACACAAUAAAGCGUGAAGAAAGACA
Hirundo rustica (Barn swallow) is the source of this 1033-nucleotide long non-coding RNA. RefSeq lists it as uncharacterized. The record is from RefSeq and is a predicted model, not a curated record. The transcript has 2 exons. NCBI's taxonomy places the organism in Eukaryota, Metazoa, Chordata, Aves, Passeriformes, Hirundinidae.